This 581-nucleotide long non-coding RNA is filed under the name Polistes fuscatus (common paper wasp). Its description in RNAcentral is "uncharacterized LOC122522735". The record is from RNAcentral. Lineage: Eukaryota; Metazoa; Arthropoda; Insecta; Hymenoptera; Vespidae.
GAACACUAAAUGUCGUUUCUUCUCGUUACAGAAACACAAUUUUGUUUUUAACUGUACUCGACCUACACCAUAAAUAGUCUUAUAAAACGACAUUUUUGUACGUUAAAAUUCAAAAAAGACUGAAGAAAAAUGGAGAAAUUACGUUUCGAAUUUACCAUGAAAGCAGCCACAGACAAGAAAUUGAACGCGCUAUUAGUGACUUCCAUUACAAGACCAGACGGCGAAAUUUUUGACCUACCAGGAGAAUUGCAGGAUGUGAACUUACACACGGAAUUAAUGAAGACCGAUACUUUUAAGAAAGUUAAAAACGCAAACUUUAAAAGGAAUCAGAAGUGAAACGCGUGGAUUGUAUUGAACUCUGAGUUGCGGGCUGAAUACAUUGAUGAAGGGGGUAAUAUCCAGUUCGGGGAUAUGUUAUUAGAAGAAAGAUGGGAAGAACCGAAGGCUAAUAAUUCAAACGACCUAUCAAAAGACGAUCUGAAACAAACUUUACGUAGUGAUCCCCAAACAACGACUGAACAAAAGAGGACAAUUAAGUCAUCUUCAGAAAGGUUCAUGUUAGAAAAAUUCACCGACAAAAA